UUAUUUUACCAAACAUGCUUAAUCUAUUUAAUGACUUAAAUUAAGUUAUUUAGUCAUUAAAUUGAUUUACCAAAUACUGUCUAAGUCUACCCACUAAUCAUGGCUUUUAGAUUUCUAUAUACGAGUAUAAGCAUUGUCACAUUCCCCUAAAAGAAAAUGUGCAAUUCAUUCUUUCCAUGCAACCCAACUCAAUGAGUUUUAGGAUUUGUAUGUUCUUAUGAUGACGUUGCCAAUGGAAUGCUACAAUUAGUGGCCUUUUGUCAUCAUUUCAUUAGUAGUUAACUUUCUUAUACAAGAUUUUGCUCAUUAGUUGUUACCAAUAUGUUAAGUUGUCAUUGCAAGCACAUGGUGCAGCCAAGAACUUGUUUAAAAGACAAAUUAAGAUACUGUUAUUUUCAAUAAAAAUUUGUGCUUUGUACAAGUGAUUGACACUUCCUAAAUGAUAUCUUUGUAUCUUGUUUGCUUUAUUUCCUUAGAGUAUACACAUUCAGUACAAUUUAGUUACGAUAAAAACUUGCAAAUUAUUACUUGAGUUUUGUUGAAUAGGAUAAUACCUCUACAAGGGUGCAAUAAAUCAUUUGUCUUGCCAAUUUAGACAUAUUUACACAUGCAUUAAAAUUUAAGUUGCCAAGUGACUUCUUACCCUUUAAUACAUAGGCAAGCACUAUAUUUUCCUUUUCUUAAAAAACUAUGUAAUUGUGGCUCGUAGUGGAGAUAUCUAUUCCUCAAGUUAGACUACUAAGAACCCUUUUUUGGAAAAGGGCUAAAAUGGUUCAGAAUUAGGGAACCCACCCAAUAAAGUUGGAAUGCAGUUAUAGAUUGUCUUCUAUUUAGUAAAAAGCAUAAAAUUAGCUUACUUAUGAUUAAUUAGUAGUAAUAAACCUUCUUUAAAAAGUUGUAAAGCUAAAGCUAAAAUGAGAACCUAUUUACUUGAAAAUUCUACGACCUUAUGGUGUUACUGUAGAUCGACUAGAAUAGAAAAAUUGCUUUGUCUCAAGUCAUCUAUAUUGACAAGUUUAUGGUCAAGUAUGUGAUGCAAGACUCCAAGAAGGGUCUUCUAACCUCAAAUAUGGAGCGUCCCAUUCUCAUGUUCAAUCUCUUAAGAUAUCUAAGGAGAAAGAUUGCAUGAAGGCUACCCUAUGCCUUUACAAUGGGUAGCCUUAUAUGCCAUACUAUGAACUAGACCGGGCAUUUGUUUUGUUGUUGGGAUGGUGAGCAAAUAUCAAUGCAAUUUAGAUACAAAGCGACCUACUACUUUUAGAAGGUAUAUUUAUCAUUGAAUUAUUACCAUCUUUUCAAUUUUGGAAUAAUUUAUCAUUAUAUUGGCUCUAGAGCAAGAUCUCUAGUUAUGGACUUCAACUAUUAUGGUCCAUAAUUGGCUCCUUAAUAGUGGCAAAGAAAUUAUUACGUUCAUACAUAUGGCCCAAGUUAGGCCUAAUGUAGGAAUUUUAGUCUUUGCAUAGGAAGCAACUUUGUGUCUUAGGUACCAUAGUUUCAACAUCAGGAAUAUGAAGGUAGUGUGAGGAUCUAUCCUAUGAAAGGGAGAAUAUCAUGGGAAACUCUCUUGAUUUUUCAUUUUUUCAUGUUUAAGGCUUGUUAAAAUUGACAUUUUUCUGGGGAUGAAGGUGUUAUUUGUCCCUUCUAAAAUGUUCUUAGCUAGAACAACCUCCACUUUGAAUUGCAUUCAGGAAAUGAUGCAUUGGGCUCUAAUCUAUAAAUCCAUCAUCCUUGGCAAGUUUAGCUAUGAUCAAUUAGUAUAUACUUAAAUUCUUUAAGCUAUGUUUGAUUCUCAGAAAAUUUGAGAGAAAAUGUGAUGGAAAGAAAAUAGAAAUAAAGAAACAAAGAAAUAAAGAAAAAAUGAAGGAAAAUUAAAAAAUAGAAUUAAAUUCAAUAAAUUAUUUUUAUAUGCUUUUUCAAACUUGUUUCACUUAUUUUCCUCCAUUAUAAAGAUUAAAUAGUUUUAAAAUAUAUAAAAUUAUUUUAGUUAUAUUUUAUCUUUUUUCAUAUUUUUCAUAGUGAAACCAAACAUAAGAAAACAAUUUUCCUUAGCAUUUUCCCCCUUCCUUUGUACUUUCCUAGAAACAAACAUACCCUUAGGGAAUUUGGUAGUCUCUUUACUUGUUUUUAUGGUAGAGAUUCAUCGAAUAAAACAAGAAGUCUGCUUAGAAGCAAAAAUGAAAACUAUUUUCCAUUUCUGAAUUGGAUUCACCAUUUUGCCUUCGUACCAUUUCAUCAUUUAAUCUAUCUACACUUUUAAGUAUGUAUGGUUUGUAGAAAAUUUGAGGGACAAAUGUUACUUCAAAUUUAUUUCACUUAUUUUAACUCUUCUAUAUAAAAAUUAAAUAAUUUGAAAAUAUAUAAGUUUAACUAAUUUUAAUUAUUUUUUUUUUUCUUUCUUAUCUUUCCAUACUUAAAAUAGACAUGAAAAAAUAAUUUUCCUUAAUCUUUUUUUCCUUUCUUUAAUACAUUGCCCGAACCAAAUAUAGCGUUUAAGUUAUUUUGUACGGAUGUUUUGUAUUAUCAGUUCUUCACUACAAUUACUUGUCUCAAGAACUUAAGAAGCUCUUGGUUUUGCAGAUGGUGAGACCUUUUUUUUAUCCUCUCUUUAGUACAUUACCGGAACCAAAUAUAGUGUUUAAGCUAUUUUUGAUGGAUGUUUUGUAUUAUUGGUUCUUCACUACGAUUACUGUCUCAAGAACCUAAGAAGCUCUUGGUUUUGCAGAUGGUGAGACCCUUCCUUGAGACCAAGACAUACCAAAAAGUGAAGUUCGUCUACUCCAACGAUGCUGUAAGCCAGAAGAAAAUGGAAGAGCUCUUUGACAUGGACACAUUAGAAUCUUCAUUUGGUGGAAGAAACUCAACCGGGUUCAACUACGAGAC
RNAcentral lists this long non-coding RNA (2880 nucleotides) under Vitis vinifera (wine grape). RNAcentral's name for it is "long non-coding RNA (VVIN_LNC002339)". Lineage: Eukaryota; Viridiplantae; Streptophyta; Magnoliopsida; Vitales; Vitaceae. The record is from RNAcentral.